ACUCUACGGGAGGCAGCAGUGGGGAAUAUUGCACAAUGGGCGCAAGCCUGAUGCAGCCAUGCCGCGUGUAUGAAGAAGGCCUUCGUGUUGUAAAGUACUUUCAGCGGGGAGGAAGGCGAUGUGGUUAAUAACCGCGUCGAUUGACGUUACCCGCAGAAGAAGCACCGCUAACUCAGUCCCAGCAGCCGCGGUAAUACGGA
Molecule: ribosomal RNA, 200 nt
Filed under: uncultured Pantoea sp.
Lineage: Bacteria; Pseudomonadati; Pseudomonadota; Gammaproteobacteria; Enterobacterales; Erwiniaceae
Description: partial 16S ribosomal RNA
Rfam family: Bacterial small subunit ribosomal RNA
Source: RNAcentral